RNAcentral lists this long non-coding RNA (2277 nucleotides) under Homo sapiens (human). Its description in RNAcentral is "non-protein coding lnc-ADTRP-7:4". The record is from RNAcentral. Lineage: Eukaryota; Metazoa; Chordata; Mammalia; Primates; Hominidae.
ACAAGGAAACUAACCUGAGGCAGGACCGUGGCACUGAAGGAGUCUCCCUGGAUGCAGCAAAGGUGGAGACCUUGUCCAAGAAAAAUGCUGGACGGGCCUUUACCCCAAAGAGGAAAGCUGGGUCAUGGAACAAGGAAAUGAAUUACAUCAAGUGAAAAUGCACAUCUGAUGCCCAGUCCAGACCAAGGCAUGUACGCUUCCAGAGGCACGCUAGCAUGCUGGCACCCCUUCAAACUAUUAUUCUUUGCAUAUUUUGUUUGUUCAGCGUGUAUCUAGUUAAAAAAAAAGAGAGAGAGAGAAGAAGAAGAAGAAAUAAAAAAAUGAAAGGGAAAAAAUGCUUUUUGAGAGGAGGAAGGGCACGUCUGUUCCUGCUGACUUCGAAUGAUUGUCAAGUGGCUGGACUCAGAUGUUAGCCGUCUGUCAUUGCUGCUAAUAACAUAUUCAUGUACAAAAACAACAGAGGUAGGUUGAUGCUGGGGAGGAGUGUUUUUUUUUUUUUUAUACUGGAAGACAUCAUCUACUUUGGUCAAAGUAAAACAAUUUUUAUUUCCAGUAAUGAAAGGAGUUGCAUGUGGAAACCUGAGUUACCAGGCACCGUUUUUCUGAUUUAUUAUAAGGAUGUGUUAGCACCAUUUCUUAGAAACUGAUAUUCCAGAGAGAUGCCCAGUCUUUUAUCAGAUAUAUGUAUUGCAAAUAUUUUCUUCAGUCUGUGACUUGACAAACCUCUUAGUACCUUCUGGCCUGAAAGUCUCUAAGACUCUCAGUUCAGGCUUGUAGAUGACUUUAAAGCCAAGUAUGGGAGAGAUUCCAAUCAUUCUCCUUGCAAUAUGGGGUUGGGAUUGUCAUCUCAAUUAACAGACAUUCAAAGCGUGCCUUCUCUGGAUGCUGAGAACACAGAGAUAAAAAAAAGAUGCCGUGCCUCCCCUACAAGAGCUCUCUGUCAAGUGGGGAAUCAGACUUGUUAACAAAUACCAGAGGAGAGACCACAAAGCCUUUUUGCCUUGAGAAGUCCAGGAAAGCCUCACAGAAGAGAACACAUUUAAAAAACAGCUCACCAGCAGAACCUUGAAGAAAAGCCAUUCUUCUAUGAGAAAGUGGCAUUUCAAAAGCCUGGGUGGAGAGAAACGAAAGUUCACAGCCAGGAUGAGAAAACUCACGAUAGAAGGAAAUUGAAUCGUUUGCUCAAGAUUAAAUACUGGCCAAGUUCAGACCAAGCACCUUGUCAACAUGGGCAAAACUUCAAAAUUUUCUUCAGAGUCACGCACUGAGAAACAGUUUAUGGAUAAAGUAAGCUUUAUAAACAAUUCCCCAAAGACAUUGGACUGUGCCUUAAAGAGAAAAAUGAGGAUCAAUGAGGACGGAGACUCUGCACAGGACAUUGAUUACGCAUGCCUGAAGACUGUUAUUUGAAAUCCUUCUGAUGUGUCACUGUUAGGACGACAGUGAUCACUACAUGCUAAUAUUUGUUAAAUGCCAGGAAUUCCUUCAGACACUAUUAGAGAAGGGCAAGGAAGAUUCUCGAGGGCUAAUCAAGCUCUUAGAGAAUUCAGUUAGUAGUGACCAUUUGCAAUACUGCAAUUGCAAUACUGUGCUCUCCAGUGAGCUGACAAGGCCAGCCAAGGCAAAGUGGAGAGGAAGUGGUGCUUUGUGGCAGAGGACCUAGAAUCAGUACCUGGUGUCUCUACCUCCAUGGGCACACGGCCAGUCCUAGGCUAUCACGAAGAAGCAAUGGUACUCAAUGUUCCUUAAGAAACAACAUCCUUAAUGUGAGAAAAUAAAAAGCCAUUGGAAACCUCUACUUGCUCUGAGCAGGCCAUUUUCUAAAAGCAACUUUGGUAUAUAACUUUGUAUAAUUAGGUAUGUUUUGGGGGGUUGUCUUGCCAUUACUUCCUUCAGUCCAUUAAUAUGGAUAAAGCAUCUCUCACCACACCAUCAGCUUAAACUGUUGAAUCCUGCCUAAUAGCCUGAGCCAAGUUAAUGGAUGAAGUCCCUGGAGAAUUUUUCAGGUGAAGGAGAAGCAGGAGGCUGCUACCCAAGAGAAGACAGAGGUGUUAAAGCUGCUUUUUUGUUUUGUGUUUUUACCUCAAUGCAGUAUAAAAUCAACAUUUAAGAUACAGAUAAAAUUCUUUAUAUAAUUAGCUUAGACCGUAAUAUCCUUCUAAUUGUCACUUUUCUAUGAAACCGUCUUUAACCAUUUAUUUGCCUUUAUGGUACUUAAUCACGUUGGCCCACUCCUUACAAAUUUCAGUAAUGAUUCCAAAUCAGUACAGUAAGGAA